UACAGAGGGUGCAAGCGUUGUUCGGAAUCAUUGGGCGUAAAGGGCGCGUAGGCGGUCAGCACAAGUCAGUUGUGAAAUCUCCGGGCUUAACUCGGAAAGGUCAACUGAUACUGUGCGACUAGAGUGCGGAAGGGGCAACUGGAAUUCUCGGUGUAGCGGUGAAAUGCGUAGAUAUCGAGAGGAACACCUGCGGCGAAGGCGGGUUGCUGGGCCGACACUGACGCUGAUGCGCGAAAGCCAGGGGAGCGAACGGG
This 254-nucleotide ribosomal RNA is filed under the name uncultured bacterium. RNAcentral describes it as "partial 16S ribosomal RNA". It matches the Rfam family "Bacterial small subunit ribosomal RNA", at positions 524 to 776 of the family's 1533-position model. The record is from RNAcentral.